Molecule: long non-coding RNA, 306 nt
Filed under: Homo sapiens (human)
Lineage: Eukaryota; Metazoa; Chordata; Mammalia; Primates; Hominidae
Description: HSALNT0285474
Source: RNAcentral
CAGACAUUGUAUGGAAAAGCAUCGUGAAAAUCCGUCCUGUUCUGUUCCGUUCUGAUUACCAGUGCAUGCAGCCCCCAGUCAUGUACCCACUGCUUGCUCAAUCAUUCACGACCCUCUCACGCGGACACUCUUAGAGUUGUAAGCCCUUAAAAGGGACAGGGAUUGCUUACUUGGGAGCUCAGUUUUUUGAGACGUAACUCUGCCGACGCGCCUGGCCAAAUAAAGCCCUCUCCUUCCUCAACUCGGUGUCUGUGGCUCGUCCUGCUACAAUGCAUCUACCCAUACAGGGCUUCUGAGGUGAUCGGG